UACGGAGGAUGCGAGCGUUAUCCGGAUUUAUUGGGUUUAAAGGGUGCGUAGGCGGGAUGCCAAGUCAGCGGUAAAAAUGCGGUGCUCAACGCCGUCGAGCCGUUGAAACUGGCGUUCUUGAGUGGAUGAGAAGUACGCGGAAUGCGUGGUGUAGCGGUGAAAUGCAUAGAUAUCACGCAGAACUCCGAUUGCGAAGGCAGCGUACCGGCAUCCAACUGACGCUGAGGCACGAAAGCGUGGGGAUCAAACAGG
Molecule: ribosomal RNA, 252 nt
Filed under: uncultured bacterium
Lineage: Bacteria
Description: partial 16S ribosomal RNA
Rfam family: Bacterial small subunit ribosomal RNA
Source: RNAcentral